AUCCAAAGUGUUGAGUUCAGCACAGGGAAGCUCCCCUGUUCUGUUAAUUAACUUUGGAACAUUAAGAACGGCCGGGGAAAUGAGGAUGGAAAAGAACUUCUGUCCAUUUUGUCACCCAGCCUACAAUC
This 128-nucleotide small nucleolar RNA is filed under the name Phascolarctos cinereus (koala). Lineage: Eukaryota; Metazoa; Chordata; Mammalia; Diprotodontia; Phascolarctidae. The record is from RNAcentral.